ACGCAUUCAGGCCUCGCAGACCUCGCCGGCCUGGAUUCUGUGGCCCUUGCGGGCCAUGUGCGCCAUCUCCGCUUCCUCUAUCACUUCCAAGCUUCGUGAGGGACCUGCUUGCUUACUUCCUCACACGGCAUCUCCUCCCCAUUUCAUCUGCCUCCUCUCUCUAUCACUCACUCAUGUGAUGCGCCUGGCCUCCGUUUCCAAGGAUUUUAGGGUUUUGUGGUGGGGUGAUGAUUUCCUUUGUUCAUUCAUUUGGCAUGCCUUGUGUUGAACCUUGUGUUUUUGUCCUUCGUCACGCACAUGUGGGGUGAUGGUGGUUUUGCGGGUUUCGAUCAGAUCUAGGAUCUCCGUGUACGAUUGUGGCAUGCAUGAUAAAUACGUCACAUUGUGUCAGAUCUUUCAUUUUGUCUUGUUUCUAUUUAGCUUUUUGUUUUGAUUUCCUCCUUGGGAACCGAUUUGCACCGUGUCCGGCUUUUGAAACGUACUGUGUCAUGCUUACAAGUCAAGUUUUGAAUGUGUAGGUAUUCAGAUACCAUUUGAUGGUGGGUUUUGUUUUUCUCACAAAUUUGUAGAAUGGCUUUGUAUAUUACUGAUGAACAUAUUUGUUAAAGCAGCCCAGAACAUUUAAUAAUUAAUUGCUUUGAUUAUGCAAUUCAUGGGAGUGGUGUUACUGAAGUGAGGAGCUUUGAAACAACCCUUGUGUUGGUCUUUGCUGUGGAACGGAGAGUGAAUUGCCACCUUGUUGUGACACCAUCUUCACUACUUGCUGCUUACACCAUCUUCACUACUUUCAUUAUUAUGCUUGCAAAAAGAAACUGGUUUAAACCAAAUAAAUUAAACCAGUUUUCAUAUGCAAAAUUCUAAUACAAGAUUAUCUCACUAACUUUACAUGUACACAUAUGCCCAACUUGAGUGUAAACAAAUUAAAAAAUGGAAUACUAGGACAAAAAUGUGAAUGAUACCAAAGAAUUACAUGUUGCAAAGAGAAAAUUAAGUUUGUGU
RNAcentral lists this long non-coding RNA (999 nucleotides) under Physcomitrium patens. RNAcentral describes it as "long non-coding RNA (PPAT_LNC012989)". Lineage: Eukaryota; Viridiplantae; Streptophyta; Bryopsida; Funariales; Funariaceae. The record is from RNAcentral.